RNAcentral lists this ribosomal RNA (468 nucleotides) under uncultured bacterium. RNAcentral's name for it is "partial 16S ribosomal RNA". It matches the Rfam family "Bacterial small subunit ribosomal RNA", at positions 28 to 507 of the family's 1533-position model. The record is from RNAcentral.
GAUGAACGCUGGCGGCGUGCUUAACACAUGCAAGUCGAACGGAGAGGCCCGGCGCUUGUUGUGUGCGCGUGUGGCGAACAGGGGAGUGAAACGCGUGGAUACCCUCCUUGACAGUGGGGUAUCAUUAGGGGACAGGGGAUAAAAUAGCGUAUGAGAUCCGGCGGCAUGGGGUGGGUAGGAAAGAUUCGGAGGUGGGGGAUUGACUCGCGGCUUAUCGGUGUGUUGGUGGGGUAGUGGCUUACCAGGGCUUUGAGGGGUAGCCGGCCUGGGAGGGUGACCGGCCCCAUUGGGCCUGAGGUACGGCCCAGACUGCUACGGGAGGCAGCGGUGGAGAAUAUUGCGCAAUGGGCGGAAGCCUUGUGCAGCGUUGCCGGGUGCUGGAUCACGGCCUUCGGGUUAUAAACCGCUUUCGCCUGUGACGAAGAGUGAGUGACGGUAAUGGAUAAAGAAGCAACGGCUAACUACGUG